GUUGUAGCUCAGUGGCAGACACAUUACUUUGCGUGAAGAAGGUCCCAGGUUCAAUCCCUGCCAUCUACA
Podarcis lilfordi (Lilford's wall lizard) is the source of this 69-nucleotide non-coding RNA. NCBI's taxonomy places the organism in Eukaryota, Metazoa, Chordata, Lepidosauria, Squamata, Lacertidae. The record is from the annotation of a GenBank genome assembly.